UGGGGAAUAUUGCACAAUGGGCGCAAGCCUGAUGCAGCCAUGCCGCGUGUAUGAAGAAGGCCUUCGGGUUGUAAAGUACUUUCAGCGGGGAGGAAGGUGUUGAGGCUAAUAACCUCAGCAAUUGACGUUACCCGCAGAAGAAGCACCGGCUAACUCCGUGCCAGCAGCCGCGGUAAUACGGAGGGGGCAAGCGUUAAUCGGAAUUACUGGGCGUAAAGCGCACGCAGGCGGGCUGUCAAGUCGGAUGUGAAAUCCCCGGGCUCAACCUGGGAACUGCAUUCGAAACUGGCAGGCUAGAGUCUUGUAGAGGGGGGUAGAAUUCCAGGUGUAGCGGUGAAAUGCGUAGAGAUCUGGAGGAAUACCGGUGGCGAAGGCGGCCCCCUGGACAAAGACUGACGCUCAGGUGCGAAAGCGUGGGGAGCAAACA
This 427-nucleotide ribosomal RNA is filed under the name uncultured bacterium. Its description in RNAcentral is "partial 16S ribosomal RNA". It matches the Rfam family "Bacterial small subunit ribosomal RNA", at positions 355 to 774 of the family's 1533-position model. The record is from RNAcentral.